This 76-nucleotide transfer RNA is filed under the name Neisseria gonorrhoeae. Its description in RNAcentral is "tRNA-Ala". It matches the Rfam family "tRNA". From Rfam's summary of the family: Transfer RNA (tRNA) molecules are approximately 80 nucleotides in length. Their secondary structure includes four short double-helical elements and three loops (D, anti-codon, and T loops). Further hydrogen bonds mediate the characteristic L-shaped molecular structure. tRNAs have two regions of fundamental functional importance: the anti-codon, which is responsible for specific mRNA codon recognition, and the 3' end, to which the tRNAs corresponding amino acid is attached (by aminoacyl-tRNA synthetases). tRNAs cope with the degeneracy of the genetic code in two manners: having more than one tRNA (with a specific anti-codon) for a particular amino acid; and 'wobble' base-pairing, i.e. permitting non-standard base-pairing at the 3rd anti-codon position. The record is from RNAcentral. Lineage: Bacteria; Pseudomonadati; Pseudomonadota; Betaproteobacteria; Neisseriales; Neisseriaceae. RNAcentral also lists the same sequence under 66 other names.
GGGGGUAUAGCUCAGUUGGUAGAGCGCUUGCAUGGCAUGCAAGAGGUCAGCGGUUCGAUUCCGCUUACCUCCACCA